Long non-coding RNA from Ipomoea nil (Japanese morning glory), 94 nucleotides. RefSeq lists it as uncharacterized. Lineage: Eukaryota; Viridiplantae; Streptophyta; Magnoliopsida; Solanales; Convolvulaceae. The transcript has 3 exons. The record is from RefSeq and is a predicted model, not a curated record.
UGUCUACAUCAAGAAUUUGUGAAAGGGAGUAAAAGUUGGGAGUAAGAAAUGAGAGUGCAUGUAGUAUUUUCCAAAUUUUUAUGGCUCUUCGAAC